This 585-nucleotide long non-coding RNA is filed under the name Mus musculus (house mouse). RNAcentral's name for it is "long non-coding RNA chr14:122461891-122462476". The record is from RNAcentral. Lineage: Eukaryota; Metazoa; Chordata; Mammalia; Rodentia; Muridae.
AAACAGGCCUUCAGGAGUGGCCUGGGGAUUAGUCCUUUGAUCCAUCUGUUCUAGGAUCCUAGAUAACCCCGAAGUUAUGGGAAGGCAGUAUGGAAGGCAGGGAAGGAAGCAGAAAAGGUCUCUCUCUGGAUACAAUGCCCACUGGCUCAGAAAGUCCCAGGACAGCCAAACACUAGGCACGCUAUGAACUGAAUCCGGAGGUGCCAGCACCCCCCUCGAGGGGCACCCCACAAGCUCCACCUGGAAGGGUCCAUGCAACCUGUAGGAGCAGGAACAAGAAAUGGAACCACCCCCCCUAUCUGGAAUCAGAAAGAAAUAUCCUGCCGCGAGGUCCCCUCUACCACUUGCUGUUCCGGAUCGGGUCAGAGGGCAACAUGUCCUGUGAAAACCCAAAAGCCAUGAUUCGAGUAAGUCAGUCAAAUUCUUCUUGGUCAGCUGCCACCAGCCUCCUCGGUUAAGGUCCAUUCUUCUCCAGAGGCCUGGGAAAGUGGAGAGGGCCCAAAACGUCCUGCCCUGCACUGUAUUUAAAAGUUCCCUUUGCCCUUAGGUGCUUGCUCAAAGUAUUGAAAGCAUUGAGCACAGAGC